UCUGACCCCCCACCCCCAGCCAGGAUCUUCAGGGGCUGUUCCCCCCCCAAAAGGGAAUGAGGAAAGGGAAUUAGGAGUGCAGGCUGAGCCCCAGCCAAUCCCCAGCUGUGUCCCUCCAGCCCAGCAUUGUCACCAUCAGCUCCAGCCAGGCAGGCACUCCUCUUCAGCAGCAGGGUGGUGGGUCACGCUGGGGUAUUUUUACAGAUACUUGAUUUUCUAGGUUUUUGUAUAGCCCGGUCGCUAUAAAUCCAGCCUUUCCCUCUCCCUGCACCCAGGGUGCGCGGCGGGGUGUGUGUGUGUAUUAUAGUUCCCCUUAGCGGCAGGGUGUAUUUCAAUCCCCCUAUUUCCUUCUCUUUUACUACAGAGAUUUUAUUUCUGUGCUUCUUUGUAAAAGUGAGGGAACGGGACGCCCCGGCGCCUUCCUCCCUGAAAUCACAUAAAUGUUAACGAGGAACUAA
This is a non-coding RNA of Chrysemys picta bellii (western painted turtle), 458 nucleotides long. The record is from RefSeq and is a predicted model, not a curated record. NCBI's taxonomy places the organism in Eukaryota, Metazoa, Chordata, Testudines, Emydidae.